Molecule: non-coding RNA, 22 nt
Filed under: Mus musculus (house mouse)
Lineage: Eukaryota; Metazoa; Chordata; Mammalia; Rodentia; Muridae
Source: RNAcentral
UGUUGGAUUCAAAGCUUUGGUU